UACGGGGGAUGCAAGCGUUAUCCGGAAUCACUGGGCGUAAAGCGUCUGUAGGUGGCUUAAAAAGUCUGUUGUUAAAUCUUAGGGCUUAACCCUGAACAAGCAGUAGAAACUCUUAGGCUGGAGUAUGGUAAGGGUAGAGGGAAUUCCCAGUGUAGCGGUGAAAUGCGUAGAUAUUGGGAAGAACACCAGUGGCGAAAGCGCUCUGCUAGGCCAUUACUGACACUCAGAGACGAAAGCUAGGGGAGCAAAUGGG
This 253-nucleotide ribosomal RNA is filed under the name uncultured bacterium. RNAcentral's name for it is "partial 16S ribosomal RNA". It matches the Rfam family "Bacterial small subunit ribosomal RNA", at positions 524 to 776 of the family's 1533-position model. The record is from RNAcentral.